This is a non-coding RNA of Sesamum indicum (sesame), 5534 nucleotides long. The record is from RefSeq and is a predicted model, not a curated record. Lineage: Eukaryota; Viridiplantae; Streptophyta; Magnoliopsida; Lamiales; Pedaliaceae.
UUCUUCUUUCUCCUCCUUUCUCACUUUGUUUUUCUUUUCCAUUUCUUCUCCUCUCUCAAUUCUUCCCCAAAUCUCUUAGAACCCUAACUCCAAACUCAGGGCAACAAGGAUAGCAGGUCGGCAACGAGGAUGGCAGGUCGGCAACAAGGACGAGGACGAGUAUGGCUUCCAUCUUUGUCCUCUCAUUUUUUCUCCAAACCCAUAUCUUAGAACCCUAGCCCCAAAUUAAACUCACGGCAACAAGGACGGUAAAUCGGCAACGAGGAAGGCAACGAGUAUGGCUUCUCCAGGUAAUCCUUAUUUCUUUGUUGCAUUUUACUUAUUCUUCUUUUUUUUUGGGUUCGUUGGAACUCUGCUUUGGGUAGACUCUUCGCUGGCCGAUAGUGUACUUGGGUAGACACUGCGUAGAUCUUGAUAGCAGACUUGGGGCAAACAUAAUUUUUAUGGAUGUUAGAUAUAUAGUAAUUUCCCGAUGAAACUUCCAGCUGAUAACAGGCUAGUUGUAAGAAGAAGAUGCAAGUAGUCAAAAGAGAAGCUUUCACUGUUGUGUUACAUUACUGAGAAUUUUGAACUAAGGUGAGAAGAAAAUUGUACGGGAUUCAAAAUUUGAAAUUGUCCUCACACAUACAACUAGAAUUCUACUAUCUGAUCCCGAAGACUAAGGAUUCUGGCUGUGUACGUCCCGUUUUGAGAGAGUAUUUUCAAUUAAUAAAAUGAUCUUUUACUUGAUUUUGGCUUGAUUUGAUGUUUUUAUGAAGUCAUUGGAAUCUGAAAAGGGCAUAAGUAGAUACUCGGAUGAUCAUUUCACAAAUCUGGAUAUAAUGCCUUCUUGAAAUGACUGUGGUAUAAUUAUGUAAUCCUCCUUUUGGAUUAAGCAUUUAGCAGAUAUAGGUCUAAAGCAAAAGCAUCAGGAACCAAAAAAUAUUAAUUUGGGUACAGAAAUUAAAAAAUAUAUCCAAAAAAAAUUAGAGACGGAAAAUUUGAAAGUUUAGAGGCCGAAUUAGAGACGGAUUAGAGACGGGAAUUUGUAAUGUUUAGAGACAGAUUAGAGACGGAACAUUUUCUGUGUUUUAGAGACGGAAUUAGAGAUGGAAGAUAACAAACAAAUACUUUAGCUUUAGAGACGGAUUAGAGACGGAAAGUUCUUUUAUUUAUCGACGGAAUCAGAGACGGAUUGCCUACGGAAAUCAGAGAUGGAUUACACUAAACUUUCUUCUUCUUUGUCGACGGAAUUAGCUACGGAAUUUUCCAUCUCAGAAUUAGAGACGGAAUGUUUUCGUUGCUGAUAAUUUAGCCACGGGGAUUUCAGCCACGGACUUCGGCGACGGAUUUUUCCGUCCUAAUUUGCUUUAGAGAUGGAAAUCCUACUUUUAGAGACGAAAAUUUCCGUCUUUGGUACCCUGUUUUCUAGUAGUGAUUACUACUUUAACCAUACUGAUUUUUUUAUUAAAAAAAUAUAUGAAAAAUUAAAAAAAAUUAAGUUUACAGGUAAAGUAAAUAAUCCAUAGGGCAUAUUGGUUCAUUAUAAAAUAUUUUUAGAGAAAAUCUAAAAAUUAUGAGUAUGGAUGUCUUUUCCAUCACAUCUGUUGUAGGUAUUGCAGUAUACACAAAACAGGUUAUUGAUAAUAUUUUAUUAAAAAUUAUAUCAAAAAUUUGUUGCUUAAAUUUAUUAUUUUGAUUCUUUCUCUCUUGAAGAAAAAUGAGAGAAAUUGGUGCAUUGGACCAAAAUUUGAAAAAGACAACAAAAUAGGAAAAAACGGUUAGUUUUUCCCCUCCAAACAAAAAUUCCAUCAACUUUAACGGUUUUACUAAGGGAAGGACCAAAAAAUACUAAAAAAAUAAUAAUUUUAGGAUCAAAACUGCAAUCUCAAGUUAUUUGAGGAUCAAAAGCGCAUAAGUGGCAAUGUUUGAGGAUCAAAAUCACAAUUAUCCAUCACAGUAGUUAUAAAAUUAUCGUUACUAAUAUUUUAUAAGAUUUAUAAAACUAUUUCAUCCAAAUAUUUCUAGAACAUAUAUAAAAAUAAUAUUUAAUAUCUAUAAAUUUAAAGUAUCUUAGAAGAUGUACGAACUUAUUUAGUAUUAAUUUUAGUAGGUAGGGCACACACAACUGGUAUGCAAAAUAAUGGCGAAGAUUUACAAGAUUAUAGGUAGAGGAUAUUAAUGGAGAAAUAUAAUAAAAAUUUGUGAUAUUUUAGGAAUUCCAUAUUUGGCACACCAAAUUGAUGUUGAUAGAUUAUUAAGAGUGUAUCAAUGAUGUCUUAACCUAGUAUUAGGCUAAAAUUAAGGUCUUAUGAGCAUGUUCAAAGUCAAGGGUUUGAGCUCCAGUGGACUGUAGGCUUUUGUCUCUUUUUAUGUGAAUGUCUCACUUUAUGUGUGUUAUUGAGUUAAUUCAAUUUUAUUGCCGUUCUUAGGCAUAUUAAUGGGGCAAAAUGUUAUUUUGGGAGAUAAUUGCACUCUUGGUCCCACAUGAUAGACCUCUUCUCAGUUUUGAUCUCGAACUUUACAAGAUCAAUUUAGACCACAAGACCUUAAAUUUUUUUAUGUUAGUCCCACACAAUUAAUUUUUAAUGAAAACGGACAGUCAUGUGCCGUUGGUCAGUCAGACGGUAAAGGUAAAGGUAGAAAAGGGGGCUCUUUAGCUAACUUCUUAAAUGUACACUUCGAUAAAAAGAAAAAAGCCAGUCUCCUUCUCCCCUUUUUUCCCCCAUUCCAAACCCUAAUCCCACCCUUUUUCCCAUUCGGUUGUAUGAAAAAUUGGUAACAAGGGUAGAAGGUGAAAUCUUUGUGAAGAAUUGUUGAUGAUGAGUCUCUGGCAAGGUGGGGCGGAAAGUUAGAAUGAAGGGGUGGGUGAAGAGGAGAGUGAUAAGUUAUUUGACUCUGGGUUGGAGGACUCUGAAUAUGAAAUAGAUGGUGAUGAUACAGAACAAGAACAGGAUGAUCAGGUAGAGCAGGGUGUUGAGGAGAAUGGUGAGGAGAGUGGUGAUGAUAGUCAUGGGGAUGAGGCAUCUGUUUAUGAGGAAGUAACAAUAGAGUCAGAUGUUUGCUUCAGUGAUGAUGAGUUUGACUCUAUUGUUGGUUCGAUGAGGAAGAUAAAGGGUCUCAUCUUGUUUACAACCCUAAAAGUAAAUAUAAUCUUCACUCUGAAAUUGGGAUGACAUUCAGUGACAAGGUUGAAUUGAGGCAGGUAGUCCAGAAUCCAUGCUAUAAGCACAAAGAGAAGUUUGAUAAUAAUGAAACAUGAUAAAAGAAGGGUUUAUGUAAAAUGCUUGGGCGAUGGGUGUCAAUGGAGGUUGAAUGCACUUAAGCUUGGAGAUGAGAGUACAUUCCAAAUUAGGGAAUACAACCCAUAACACAAAUAGGCCAGAUCAUUCUAUGUGAAAAAUGUGAAUAACAUAUGGUUGUCUGCCAAAUAUGAGGAUGCCUUCAGAACAUAUCCUAAAGGAAUGUCAAGGGGUUCGGAAAAGAUGCAAUUAAGAAAAUUAGAUGUCAUGUUUAAAAAAAUCAAGCAUACAGAGCAAAGAAAAAGGCCCUAAAUGCAAUUCAAGGAAAAAUUGAAGUACCAAUUAAGUAUGAUGAUGUGCAUUAUGAAAUAUCAUGCUAUGAUGGUGUAGGUAUGUGGUCAAUUUGCAAAACAAAACUUGCACAUGCAGAAAAUGGGGCUUUACAGGCAUUCCCUGUAAGCAUGGAAUGAGUGCCAUAUGCAGUUAAUACUUAACCCCAGAAUACUUUGUCAAUACAUGGUACAAUCUGACCACUUUUAUUGAGGUAUAUAAGCAUGCUAUAUUGCUUGUCAAUGGCCUAAAACUAUGGAAAAAGACUGGAAUGAUCCCACCCUUUGCACCCAACUUUGGAAGGAGUGUAGGAAGGCCUACAAGAGCAAGGAGGUUAGAUCCUGAUGAGCCAUUCAACAAGGGCAAAAAGAGGACUAGAGACCAGCAGAAUCACACCAUCAGAUUGAAGAGGCAACCAAAUAUAGUCAUGUAUCAUUACAGUGGAAUGAUAGGCUAUAAUAAAAAAGGAUAUCCAAGGAAGAAAAUGGACUUCCCUGCUGAGCCAAAUACUGUAGUACAACCCACCAAAUUGACAAGGAUAGGAAAACAACAAGAAAUCCAUGCCAUAAUCCCACAGUGAACAAGUUCAUGCAAAUCCUUCUAUAAGUUCAUGAAUACUGACAAGAUCUAAGUUUAUUAAGUCAGCAUCCCAAACUACUACCCAGCAAUAACUACUACCCUUGCCCAUCCCUACCCUAUUUGUUAAAUUUUCUUCCCUUUAUCACUCACAUGUGCCCUGCCCCUUCCUCAAUCACAACAUUUUUCCCCUUAUCCCUCAAAAUCGACACAAGUUCUUCUUCCCCAGUCACAAGUUUUUUUUUCCUCUUAAUUCAAGCAAUCUUUGAGGUCCUAACAUUGUCAAGAUGUGUCUUAACCUACUGACUCCAACCAAGCAGGCCGAAGAGGCAUUACCACCAUUCUUGCAACCUACCUCCAAAAUGAAGCUUGGCUAUGUCAGAUUAUCUAACUAAGUAAGAAAACAUAGAAAGUUUUGGCUGAAUUGAUUGAUUUGAAUCUAGGUUUGGUUUGUAAGCUGAUAGUAUGAAAUAGAACUUUUUUAUUAGUAAGAUCAAAAGGGGUCCAACAUCACAUGACUCAACAGAUGGUAAUGGGAGUUAACAGGCACGUGCGAGGCACAUGUUUCUUGCGUUAACUUGGAACUACAAAGGCUUGAUUUUGAUUUUUAUGGGACUAAAAUCAGCACUGGCCACAAUCUAGUACAAAAAUAAAGCUGACCUUGUUUUAUGGGACUAAAAAAGUAUUUUGUGAAUGUUAAUAUAUUGAUUGAAUCAAUGUAAUUUAUUAGUGUUUGUAGUCAUAUUGAUGAAUUGAUUGAAUUGACGUAUUAUUCAAAAAAAAAAUAUUAAGGGUAUAAGAAUAUUUUAAAAGUUCCUCAUUUUGACACACUAAAUUAAUCAUUCCAGAUGGCUUAGGUUUGUCUCUAAUUAAAUUUUAGGAUAAAUUACAAUAGUUUUUUUUCUUAAAUUUAUCUUAAUUUCAAAUACUCCCUAAUUAUUUGGUAAAUUACUAAUUCCAUUUGAUUUUAAGGACAUCAAACAACUAGUCCUAUUCAUUAGUUUACGUUAGAUUUUCAUUCAUUUUUUAUGAGGAACAUAUCACAAUAUCCUUACAUAUGGUCUAUAAACUGUAAUUGUAUUUCUUUAUUAAAUUUUUUCAUGAACUAAGUGGGCAAUUUUGACAAAUUUUUCCAUUCACCUAAUUCAAUUUUUUUUUACAAUAUUUAAUUUCUCUUUCUUUAAAGAAAUACAACAAAGGUUAAAAAUUACAUAAUCUAAUAAAAUAUUAUGAAAUGUUGACAAUAUUUUAAAUAUAUAUAUAUAUUUAUAAUAGUUGUAAUUUAUCUUAAAAUUUACUCUAACCCUUUGAUUUUUCUGCGAGCCCCAACACGAAACACGCAUAUUAGAUACACGGGCAUGACAUAUAUAUAUAUAUAUAUAUAUAUAUAUAUAUACACACACACAC